CUAAGGUCGUAGGAGGUUAUACAGGCAAAUCCGUAUAACAAUACUCCGAGAACUGAAAGGCUUUUUGAAGUCUUCGGAUGGAUAGAAGAACCCCUGAUGCCGUCGAGCCAAGAAAAGUUUCUAAGUUUAGCUAAUGUUGCCCGUACCGUAAACCGACACAGGUGGGUGGGAUGAGUAUUCUAAGGCGCGUGGAAGAACUCUCUUUAAGGAACUCUGCAAAAUAGCACCGUAUCUUCGGUAUAAGGUGUGGUUAGCUUUGUAUUAGGAUUUACUCCGAAAGCAAGGAAACUUACAACAAAGAGUCCCUCCCGACUGUUUACCAAAAACACAGCACUCUGCUAACUCGUAAGAGGAUGUAUAGGGUGUGACGCCUGCCCGGUGCUCGAAGGUUAAUUGAUGGGGUUAGCAUUAGCGAAGCUCUUGAUCGAAGCCCGAGUAAACGGCGGCCGUAACUAUAACGGUCCUAAGGUAGCGAAAUUCCUUGUCGGUUAAAUACCGACCUGCAUGAAUGGCGUAACGAGAUGGGAGCUGUCUCAAAGAGGGAUCCAGUGAAAUUGUAGUGGAGGUGAAAAUUCCUCCUACCCGCGGCAAGACGGAAAGACCCCGUGGACCUUUACUACAGCUUGACACUGCUACUUGGAUAAGAAUGUGCAGGAUAGGUGGGAGGCUUUGAGUAUAUGACGCCAGUUGUAUAUGAGCCAUUGUUGAGAUACCACUCUUUCUUAUUUGGGUAGCUAACCAGCUUGAGUUAUCCUCAAGUGGGACAAUGUCUGGUGGGUAGUUUGACUGGGGCGGUCGCCUCCCAAAUAAUAACGGAGGCUUACAAAGGUUGGCUCAGAACGGUUGGAAAUCGUUCGUAGAGUAUAAAGGUAUAAGCCAGCUUAACUGCAAGACAUACAAGUCAAGCAGAGACGAAAGUCGGUCUUAGUGAUCCGGUGGUUCUGUGUGGAAGGGCCAUCGCUCAAAGGAUAAAAGGUACCCCGGGGAUAACAGGCUGAUCUCCCCCAAGAGCUCACAUCGACGGGGAGGUUUGGCACCUCGAUGUCGGCUCAUCGCAUCCUGGGGCUGGAGCAGGUCCCAAGGGUAUGGCUGUUCGCCAUUUAAAGCGGUACGCGAGCUGGGUUCAGAACGUCGUGAGACAGUUCGGUCCCUAUCUGCCGUGGGCGUAAGAAGAUUGAAGAGAUUUGACCCUAGUACGAGAGGACCGGGUUGAACAAACCACUGGUGUAGCUGUUGUUCUGCCAAGAGCAUCGCAGCGUAGCUAAGUUUGGAAAGGAUAAACGCUGAAAGCAUCUAAGCGUGAAGCCAACUCUAAGAUGAAUCUUCUCUAAGCUCUCUAGAAGACUACUAGUUUGAUAGGCUGGGUGUGUAAUGGAUGAAAGUCCUUUAGCUGACCAGUACUAAUAGAGCGUUUGGCUUAUCUUUAAUAAAGCAU
Molecule: ribosomal RNA, 1435 nt
Filed under: Campylobacter coli
Lineage: Bacteria; Pseudomonadati; Campylobacterota; Epsilonproteobacteria; Campylobacterales; Campylobacteraceae
Description: partial 23S ribosomal RNA
Rfam family: Bacterial large subunit ribosomal RNA
Source: RNAcentral